GCCGGAGUAGCUCAGCUGGCCAGAGCGACGCUCUUGUAAAGCGUGGGUCACGGGUUCGAAUCCCGUCUCCGGCU
RNAcentral lists this transfer RNA (74 nucleotides) under soil metagenome. It matches the Rfam family "tRNA". From Rfam's summary of the family: Transfer RNA (tRNA) molecules are approximately 80 nucleotides in length. Their secondary structure includes four short double-helical elements and three loops (D, anti-codon, and T loops). RNAcentral also lists the same sequence under 1 other name. The record is from RNAcentral.